Long non-coding RNA from Ictalurus punctatus (channel catfish), 1506 nucleotides. Lineage: Eukaryota; Metazoa; Chordata; Actinopteri; Siluriformes; Ictaluridae. The record is from Ensembl.
GAAAAAUUUUAUUGGUUUUAUUCUCUUUACAUAACUUACUACAUAAUCUCUAAAUCUGAUUGUCAGAAAAAUCUUAUUUAAAGCUCCAGUUCCAAAGAAACAUGCCAUUUGAAAAUAAAAACAAACAAAUCCAGUGUCCUUUUACAAAAUCUUACUCACGACACAGUCGCGUUUUGCUUUCAUGCCCAUCUGAUAAGGUGCACAGUAGCACAAAGUAGUAAAGUAGUAGUACCCUUUAAAGAUCUGAGAACCAUUUUUAAAAAACUCAAGCGGAACGACAAAAUCCCAACACCUUACAUACAUACAGUACAAUUUCAUUGUCUUCUGUGAGUUGUUCUGAGUCAUGGUGUCAUUGUACUCUAGGAAUAAUGGAAGCAGGUCACAUCCUACAGCUGAUGACACAUAUCUGUUUAAAACGCUCUGUUACUCAAAAAAACUGACAUAAAUAUAAUUCAUAACACAAGAGCACUUAUUAACAUGGUAAGGAAUCUCAGAGCUUGAAGAUCCCUCUGUUAUGAUUCAAGUUGUAUCUGAGCCCUGCUUUAUCUUCUCUGUCAUUCUCCAAUGCUCACAUCAGUGAGACACAGUUCUGAGUGUGAAGAUGAGGUGUGAACCGGCUGAUGCGUGUAAACAUCAGGUUCUUCUCAGUUUUGCCUAGUCUGAAUCACCCAGUGAGACAGUAUUCUCAGAUAAAUCUUCAUUAAUUUGCUAUUAACCUAACUGAAAGGGAAGAUGAAAGGUGUCUUUGUGUGUGUGUGUGUGUGUGUGUGUGUGUUGUUCAUGUGUACUAGAAUGACCAGAUGAAACUGAGAAACAUUUCUUCUAUACUAGAAUCCAAUAUGAAAAAAGCAGGCCACUUUCAAAAGCUCACAUUGCAGACUGGCUCUUAAUUUAAUCGAUCAUAGGCAUACACACACACACACACACACACACACACACCUAUGUCACAGACACUGGCUUCAAAGGAAAAGUUUAAAUUGACUUAUUAUACUAGUCAUACUAGUUAUACAGCUCAUUUAUCGUGUGAGGCACAUCAUAUGCACAGUAUGUUGUUAUAUAUGGUGAUUAUCAGCUAUUAUAUACACACACAAACACACACACACACACACACACACACACACACACACACACACACACACACACCUCAGUAGUGCACAGAUGAGACACUCAGACUAAUAAACCGGUUGUUAAAAAACAAACAAACCUGAAUACGCUCUAAUCAUGUACCAGCAUUAUGACAAAAAUGUUCAAGCGAUUCAAACAGCUCAAGUAUUAAAUAUAAAUGAUAAAUUACAUCCCGUACAUUUGCUGUGAGGACAGCUUUCAUGGUCAGACUGUCAGAAGAUAAGAAGUUAAGCCUUAUAUGUAAUUGUACAACAGUGUGCAAGCACAGUGCCUACUACACCGUACUACCUGUCAUGAGGAAAGUUUCAAGGUCACCGUGUUACUGCAAAUAGCUUCCCGAAACUAGCGAGUCUUGGACGGUAGCAUGACAGCCCAUUUUCU